RNAcentral lists this ribosomal RNA (229 nucleotides) under uncultured bacterium. Its description in RNAcentral is "partial 16S ribosomal RNA". It matches the Rfam family "Bacterial small subunit ribosomal RNA", at positions 568 to 796 of the family's 1533-position model. The record is from RNAcentral.
UGCGUAGGCAGCUUGAUAAGUCAGAGGUGAAAGGCUACAGCUCAACUGUAGAAUUGCCUUUGAUACUGUCGAGCUUGAAUCAGGUUGAGGUUGGCGGAAUGUGGCAUGUAGCGGUGAAAUGCAUAGAUAUGCCAUAGAACACCAAUUGCGAAGGCAGCUGACUGGACCUGGAUUGACGCUGAGGAACGAAAGCGUGGGGAGCGAACAGGAUUAGAUACCCUGGUAGUCC